RNAcentral lists this ribosomal RNA (524 nucleotides) under uncultured bacterium. RNAcentral describes it as "bacterial SSU rRNA". It matches the Rfam family "Bacterial small subunit ribosomal RNA", at positions 356 to 896 of the family's 1533-position model. The record is from RNAcentral.
GGGGAAUAUUGGACAAUGGGGGCAACCCUGAUCCAGCAAUUCUGUGUGCACGAAGAAGGUUUUCGGAUUGUAAAGUGCUUUCAGCAGGGAAGAAGAAAGUGACGGUACCUGCAGAAGAAGCGACGGCUAAAUACGUGCCAGCAGCCGCGGUAAUACGUAUGUCGCAAGCGUUAUCCGGAAUUAUUGGGCAUAAAGGGCAUCUAGGCGGCCCUGUAAGUCUAGGGUGAAAACCUGCGGCUCAACCGCAGGCCUGCCCCGGAAACUACAGGGCUAGAGUAUCGGAGAGGUGGACGGAACUGCACGAGUAGAGGUGAAAUUCGUAGAUAUGUGCAGGAAUGCCGAUGAUGAAGAUAGUUCACUGGACGGUAACUGACGCUGAAGUGCGAAAGCUAGGGGAGCAAACAGGAUUAGAUACCCUGGUAGUCCUAGCUGUAAACGAUGAUUACUGGGUGUGGGCAUGAAGAGUGUCCGUGCCGAAGCAAAUGCGAUAAGUAAUCCGCCUGGGGAGUACGGCCGCAAGGCUG